GAUGAACGCUAGCGAUAGGCUUAACACAUGCAAGUCGAGGGGCAGCAUGGUCUUAGCUUGCUAAGACUGAUGGCGACCGGCGCACGGGUGCGUAACGCGUAUGCAACUUGCCUCACAGAGGGGGAUAACCCGUCGAAAGACGGACUAAUACCGCGUACACUCUAUUUUGGGCAUCCAAGGUAGAGGAAAUGAAAUUCGCUGUGAGAUAGGCAUGCGUCCCAUUAGCUAGUUGGUGAGGUAACGGCUCACCAAGGCGACGAUGGGUAGGGGAACUGAGAGGUUGAACCCCCACACUGGUACUGAGACACGGACCAGACUCCUACGGGAGGCAGCAGUGAGGAAUAUUGGUCAAGGGGCGAGGGCCUGAACCAGCCAAGUCGCGUGAAGGAUGACUGUCUUAUGGAUUGUAAACUUCUUUUGUAGGGGAAUAAAGAGGGGCACGUGUGCCCCAGUGAAUGUACCCGACGAAUAAGCAUCGGCUAACUCCGUG
RNAcentral lists this ribosomal RNA (490 nucleotides) under uncultured bacterium. RNAcentral's name for it is "partial 16S ribosomal RNA". It matches the Rfam family "Bacterial small subunit ribosomal RNA", at positions 28 to 507 of the family's 1533-position model. The record is from RNAcentral.